UACGUAGGCAGCGAGCGUUGUUCGGAAUUAUUGGGCGUAAAGAGCUCGUAGGCGGUCUGUCGCGUCGGCUGUGAAAACUCGGGGCUCAACCCCGAGCCUGCAGUCGAUACGGGCAGACUAGAGUCCUGUAGGGGAGACUGGAAUUCCUGGUGUAGCGGUGAAAUGCGCAGAUAUCAGGAGGAACACCGGUGGCGAAGGCGGGUCUCUGGGCAGUAACUGACGCUGAGGAGCGAAAGCGUGGGGAGCGAACAGG
RNAcentral lists this ribosomal RNA (253 nucleotides) under uncultured bacterium. RNAcentral describes it as "partial 16S ribosomal RNA". It matches the Rfam family "Bacterial small subunit ribosomal RNA", at positions 524 to 776 of the family's 1533-position model. The record is from RNAcentral.